RNAcentral lists this unclassified non-coding RNA (2059 nucleotides) under uncultured fungus. Its description in RNAcentral is "sequence contains 18S rRNA gene, ITS1, 5.8S rRNA gene, ITS2, 28S rRNA gene". The stretch from base 955 to 2059 matches the Rfam family "Eukaryotic large subunit ribosomal RNA", at positions 1 to 961 of the family's 3401-position model. Lineage: Eukaryota; Fungi. The record is from RNAcentral.
GGAGGGAUCAUUACAAUUCACUGCCACUUUUAGUGGCGGGCCGAUCAACAUUCAUGUUUUUUUUUAACCUUGGGAUGGGUAACCUAGCAAGGUUUUCUCUUACUGUUGUAGGACAGCAUACGGCCAAUUAAAAUCCCGAAAGGGCGAUUGGGGUCGGAAAUUCCACCACCCUUAAAUAAAGGCGAUCGGGUUUGGAGUGUAAAAACUCCAUCCCGGAAGGGCGAUUGGAUUCGGGCGUUAAAAACCCCGUCUCCUGUUCUCUGAAGAGCUAUUGGGUUUGGUCUGUCUAUCCUGUUGUUUAUCCCGAAAGGGCGAUCAGUUUUGGAGUGUAAAAACUCCCAUCCUGUCUCGAAAGAGUGAUCAGGUUUAGACCAUUCCAUCCCUGUUCCCGAAAGGGCGAUUGGAUUCGGGCGUUAAAAACCCCGUCUCCUGUUCUCUGAUGAGCGUUGAGGUUUGGGUGUAAAAACCCAUCCUUGUUCCCUUCUGUCUCUGAAUACCAUUUUUUUUAAUGGUCGAACACCUGUCGACGGGGGAUAUCUAGGUUCCCACAACGAUGACGAGCGCAGUAAACUGCGAUAACGAAUGUGAAUUGCAGAACUCCGUGAAUCAUUUAGGACUUGAACGCAACUUGCCCCUCACCGUCAAGGCUGAGGUGGGACCGGUUGAGCGCCAUUUAAAACAUAAUCCCGAGAGGGCGAUUGGGGUUGGGAAUUUCCUCCACCCUUAAAUAACGGCAUUUAGUGUGAUAAUGCGGGAAGGACCCCCUGUUUUGGAACCAAUAAUACACGGUCAGGUCAUUCCCGUAAAACGGUUUGUAUCAGAACGGAAUUACCAGUCUCGCGGUCUUUUUCUCGUGUCCUCUCAUACUAAAUGAUUAAAUUGUCAUCUGCUCUGGUGGUUGGGGAUUUUACCAGACGGGUGGCAAUAUUUUGCGUCGAAAUCUAGUAGACGAACUGGCCUCAAACUGGUCCGGACUACCCACUGAACUUAAGCAUAUCAUUAUGUGGAGGAAAAGAAACCAACAGGGAUUCCCUCAGUAAGGGCGACUGAACCGGGAAAAGCUCAAACUUAAAAUCGGCCUGGGCCAAAACCCUCGUCCGAAUUGUAGUUUUGCGAAUGGAUUCUGGUUAUAUCACUGAUCUAAGUCCUCUGGAACGAGACGCCGUAGAAGGUGACAGCCCUGUGAGGUUGGUGAUUGAUCCUGGUGCUUCCAUUUCAAGGAGUCAGGCUAUUUGAGAGCAUAGCCUAAAGCGGGUGGUAAGCUCCAUCCAAAGCUAAAUAUCAGUGGGAGACCGAUAGCGAACAAGUACCGCGAGGGAAAGAUGAAAAAGACUCUGGAAAGAGAGUUAAAAGUAUUUGAAACCGUCGACAGUGAAGCGGACGUGCCCUCCACUCCGUGGUGUGUGAAUCAGCAGGUAGCUAGGUUAGGGAUUAGUCGGCGGCCAUUAAUUUGGUUUAGCUUGCUGGCGUUGGGGUUUGGCGACCUGUGCACUUCAUGCGCCUUAGGAUGCAACUGGUUUGUGUGAUCGAUUUGGGCGGUUGUGGAUGGUAAUCGGCUUGCUGGUGAAAACUGCGACCCAACCCUAACUGUAUUGCAUAAAUUUAGGCUCAGUGGCCUACCUCAUCUUUGCCAAGGGGUGACUUGGUUAGUGGAAGGUUGGCGUUGUCUCGCAAGGGAUGGCGUCGGCCCAAGCUAAUUGGGGAACUUACUGGGUGGGGUUUUGUUGUAAUUGGGGGACACGUCUGUCCCGUCUUGAAACACGGACCAAGGAGUGUUGAUUGCAUGCAAGUCUAAGGGGCGUUAAACCCUGGAGGCGAAGCGAAAGCAUUACGUGUGAUGGGAUAAAAACUUGCAACACGAACCGAUAAUGACACAGCGUGAAUAUAUCGAGUUUUAGCAUGCAGUCAACGACCCGAAAGACCGCGAACUAUACCUGCAUAGGGUGAAGCCAGAAGAAAUUCUGGUGGAGGCCCGUAGCGGUUCUGACGUGCAAAUCGAUCGUCAAAUGUGGGUAUAGCGGCGAAAGACUAAUCGAGCGGUCUAGUAGCUGGUUCCCUC